UACAGAGGGUGCGAGCGUUAAUCGGAGUUACUGGGCGUAAAGGGCGCGUAGGCGGUUUGAUAAGAUUGAUGUGAAAGCCCUGGGCUUAACCUAGGAACUGCAUCGAUGACUGUCAAGCUAGAGUAUUGUAGAGGGUAGUGGAAUUUCCGGUGUAGCGGUGAAAUGCGUAGAGAUCGGAAGGAACACCAGUGGCGAAGGCGGCUACCUGGACAAAUACUGACGCUGAGGCGCGAAAGCGUGGGGAUCAAACAGG
This 253-nucleotide ribosomal RNA is filed under the name uncultured bacterium. RNAcentral describes it as "partial 16S ribosomal RNA". It matches the Rfam family "Bacterial small subunit ribosomal RNA", at positions 524 to 776 of the family's 1533-position model. The record is from RNAcentral.